Molecule: long non-coding RNA, 532 nt
Organism: Rhagoletis pomonella (apple maggot)
Lineage: Eukaryota; Metazoa; Arthropoda; Insecta; Diptera; Tephritidae
Exons: 3
Source: RefSeq, a predicted model, not a curated record
GAUUUACAACUACAUUCACAACUUUUUAGUCAUCUCACCCACACACUUACAAAUUUUUUGUUCGAACUGUCAAAAAAAUGUCCCUUUGUUAGAGUUACAUACCCGAUAUGAAUUCGUACUCUAAUAAGAAUUCUAUGCGUUAGAGCGAGCAAGUUAGAAACAUCGGAGUUCUUAUGACAGUAUACAUACUGUGAAGAAAUGUCGCUGCGAAAAUUUUGAAGAUUGCAAAACAGCAGCGACUUAGUCACAUUCUUAAGAUUUGGGAUUCACCAUCAGUACCUUCAACGCUUGCAUCUUCAUCGCCAGGAGCACCAUUAAAACCUUCUGCCCUCAGCUUCUUCAUCGCCAGGAGCACCACCAGUACCUUCUAUCCUCAGCUCCUUCAUCGCCAGGAGCACCAUGGGUACGUUCCGCCCUCAGCACAUUCAAAGCCAGGAGCACCUUCAAAGUGUAGGUUCAACUUUUCAAAUUUUGCAAAGUUGUAAGAAAACUUAAUUUUUCUGAACCACUACAAAUGAUUUGCAACUCUUAA